ACGUCUCCAUAAUAGAAAUAGGUAUCGUCAAUGACAUUUGUUUUAUAACUAUCAAACAUGUUUAAAACAUCCUUUAUAUUGAAUCCACAUAACAAUUAUUUAUGAUAAGGGGCACCAUCACAUAGAUUAAAAAAAAAGGGAUUAAUCAAUAGUUCAACACUAAAGCAUCGACCACUUGCAUGGUGGUCGGAGCAAGUGGAAAUGUGUCAAGUCUCUAAGUUGCGGUACAUAUUCUAAAUCCUUGCGGUGCUCCAUGUUUAGCAAAGUAUCGUCAUAUGCACAUCUUUGCUACAACCGAUGCAUGCACCUCAAACAACAUGCUGGUGUUUUUACCUAAUAAAAUAGAGUGUAGAAUUUUUUUGCCAGGUGCAAAUUGUACCAACGACUUGUAUGAAAUAAAUGCAGUGCUUCAUUAAGAUCAUUACCGGACUAUUCUUGCCAAACAAACCAAAAACUGUUGUUUUCCCCUGUAUUACUUGAACUGGUUACAAUAUAAACAAAAUUAACCCUGUCGUAGAAUAAAACCAUUAUGACCUACUAAACCCAACCUGACAAAAUGAUCCAUUUCAAUACAAAACAUUUGAUGUGUCGUUAAUUGCCAGUUGUUAAAAAAAUUGUAAUAGAAUCAUGGCGCAAACGUAGCUUGUAUUGCGGUUUACAGAAUGAAGGAAACUCAAAUAAUAUUUUAACAUUAAUUUAUCUUCCAUACUAAUGAUAGCCUCAUACAGCGCCAUAGCUCUAACCUUGAUCUUUUUUAAAAAUACCAUAAAAAUAUGUUAGAUGGACGCAAAUGCUUCUAUUCUCCUUAUUAAUUUGUUGCAAUGUAAAUUUGUAAGAUAUACAUGCAAUUCCAGCUAGAAAUACACUGACAAAUUGCCAUGGAAAUCAUUAUGAGAAAUUAAGAACAGGUUCCACCUUUUUGUUGACAGAAAAUAAAGAAAGAAAGAACACAUCAGAAUUUUAAUAUGAGUAGCAGAGAGGUGGAGGACCAUAAUCCUUAUUCAGGCAGAGACAACAGCGGACAGCUGGGCAUCAGAGGGCUUGGCGCCUGCUGAAGAACGCAUGACAUUAUUGGAUUGACCUCUUGGUAGAUGAGCAUGCAUGAAGGACAUCAAUACAAAAAGUGAUAUAAAAUAUUAAUAAAUUUUAGGUUCAUUUAUGUUUUUUUAGCCAAAAUGUCCUAGCCAAAGAGAGCUGUAUUGGCAGAACAAACAUUCCAGGGUUCUUUUUGGAAGCCACAAGAACAAACAAACUGCCAAACAGAAUGUACGGAAAAGUCAAUUUAGUCUUAAGGCAUGACAGGCUGACACACAAAAAACUUGGAAUAGUGACUGUGAACAUUCUGUUGUAGCAAUCUACUAUGAAGCACAGAAAAGGCAAUUUACUCUUGACGCACAAAAUUUUAACAGUUAUUUUGUCAUUGUAUUCUUCCUAGUAUGCUUAGUUUAUGCAAGAAAAUGGUCGUACUUCAGUUAUACAUUACACAAAGGUAGAUCUAGAAGAACACUUGGCUGACCACAUAAGGGUAUAAUAAUGUAGCAGCAGCAUAUACCAUAACAACUUUAAUAACAAAAUUGGUACCUAAUCACUUUAUAGCAAACGACAACUAUCCGGCGGCAUCAUUAACCUGAUUAGCACCUAAGAACAACAUAAAUUUCUUUUAGUAACAGUCCAUGCAGAGUAUGGCAUCUAAACCUUCUAACAAAAACAUGAUUACAAAAACCUUAUAGAAAUAAGGAAUUGAAAAACAAGAGAACAAAUAAAAGGAGGCACACACACUUGUAAUGCAAACCAUGCCAAUUGUCAACUUAUUUCUUAAAUCUCAUAGAACAUCAACUCAAUUGUGGACUAAAGAUGGUUGCCAUGGUAAAAUAAUCUUUCUCUCACGUCUUGCUCAUUUCAAAGACUACACGACCCACUACUUAUUUUCAUACACCAGAAUAAACUUCACAUCGCGUGCAUCCAAAAGGAAAAUAUAUAGAUUGCUUCAAAAAAAAAGGAAAAUAUAUAGAUGGAUACAGUAGGG
This 2026-nucleotide long non-coding RNA is filed under the name Triticum aestivum (bread wheat). RNAcentral's name for it is "long non-coding RNA (TAES_LNC027245)". Lineage: Eukaryota; Viridiplantae; Streptophyta; Magnoliopsida; Poales; Poaceae. The record is from RNAcentral.